AGAGAAAAUCUGGAUUGAGAACUCACAACCUAUCGGUUGUCACAGGCUGCACAUGCGGAGGGUCUGUAGCUCAGUCGGUUAGAGCAUCGUCUUGAUAAGGCGAGGGUCGUUGGUUCGAUUCCAACCAGACCCACCAGUGUAUCGACGGCGGGCCACUGUGCGCGGAGGCAACGAUUGGAUCUUUUCGGCAAAGAGUCGGGAGGGUCGUCGCCGAACAGCGGGGGAUUAGCUCAGCUGGGAGAGCACCUGCUUUGCAAGCAGGGGGUCGUCGGUUCGAUCCCGUCAUCCUCCACCAACCGUCAAUCGUGAGCUGUCAGGCCUGCUGGGUCGAUGACCCUGCAGGCCUGACUCCUUACCGGGUCUGUGCUCUUUAACAAAAUGGAAGA
RNAcentral lists this transfer RNA (386 nucleotides) under Candidatus Accumulibacter phosphatis. RNAcentral describes it as "partial 16S-23S ribosomal RNA intergenic spacer". The stretch from base 60 to 133 matches the Rfam family "tRNA". The record is from RNAcentral. Lineage: Bacteria; Pseudomonadati; Pseudomonadota; Betaproteobacteria.